RNAcentral lists this ribosomal RNA (919 nucleotides) under uncultured bacterium. RNAcentral describes it as "bacterial SSU rRNA". It matches the Rfam family "Bacterial small subunit ribosomal RNA", at positions 8 to 916 of the family's 1533-position model. The record is from RNAcentral.
AGAGUUUGAUCAUGGCUCAGAACGAACGCNGGCGGNNCGUUUUAAGCAUGCAAGUCGAGCGGUAUGUCAGUGCUUGCACUGACAGAGAGCGGCGAACGGGUGAGUGACGCGUAGGUGAUCUGCCUUUCGGUUGGGGAUAGCCCAUGGAAACAUGGGGUAAUACCGAAUGAGAUCUUUGUGCUUUGGUGCAAAGAUGAAAGAGGCUACGGCCUCGCCGAGAGAUGAGCCUGCGUCUGAUUAGCUAGUUGGUGUGGUAAAGGCGCACCAAGGCGACGAUCAGUAGCCGGCCUGAGAGGGUGACCGGCCACAUUGGGACUGAGACACGGCCCAGACUCCUACGGGAGGCAGCAGCUAAGAAUCUUCCGCAAUGGGCGAAAGCCUGACGGAGCGACGCCGCGUGGGUGAAGAAGGCCGAGAGGUUGUAAAGCCCUUUUCUCACUGAAGGAUAAUUUCAAUAGGGAAUGAUUGAGAGAUGACGUUAGGUGAGGAAUAAGCUCCGGCCAAUUACGUGCCAGCAGCCGCGGUAACACGUAAGGAGCGAGCGUUGUUCGGAAUUAUUGGGCGUAAAGGGCUCGUAGGCGGUUUUGUAAGUCUGGCGUGAAAUAACGAGGCUCAACCUCGGAGACGCGCCGGAAACUGCAAGGCUUGAAUCUUGGAGGGGGUACUGGAAUUCCCGGUGUAGGGGUGAAAUCUGUUGAUAUCAGGAAGAACACCUGAGGCGAAGGCGAGUACCUGGCCAAAGAUUGACGCUGAUGAGCGAAAGCGUAGGGAGCGAACAGGAUUAGAUACCCUGGUAGUCUACGCCGUAAACGAUGUGCACUUGAUGGUGGUGCCGUACGGUAUCACUGUCGUAGCUAACGCGUUAAGUGCACCGCCUGGGGAGUAUGCCGGCAACGGUGAAACUCAAAUGAAUUGACGG